Zalophus californianus (California sea lion) is the source of this 2675-nucleotide long non-coding RNA. RefSeq lists it as uncharacterized. The transcript is spliced from 4 exons. NCBI's taxonomy places the organism in Eukaryota, Metazoa, Chordata, Mammalia, Carnivora, Otariidae. The record is from RefSeq and is a predicted model, not a curated record.
CCGCCCGGCCCGGGAGUCGGAGCGCCGCAACGCCUGCCCGAGACUGAGGGACCGGCGGGGCGGCCCAAACACUUUCCGGGCGGGCCCGGCUCCGCCCAGCCAGGUCAGAGUGAUGGUGCAGCCAUAAAGAUGCAGAAUCUUCAACCUAAAAAAAGUGAAGACAAGACCCCCGAUUAUGUGGAGCGGAGACAGUGGAGCCUAGAUUCUAAGUAAGCAUGGUAAAUGAAUUUCGUUAACUUUCCUUGUUAAUAAGGAGGAUAUGGGGUUCAGGAGCUGUUACGUAACUGACUCAAGCUUCAACAUUAAGAGCAUCAGUAAGAGGCUGCAGGGUUGCAGCCUAGAAGACCACCACCCAAGGCCAAGUGAUUGCAGAAAUUGAGCUGCUGGGACCAACAUCAUCUAAGAGAAGUCAUCUGCACAUUGGCCCAUUGCUGACUCACCUCAAAGAGAUUAACUGAAAACCCAUUAUGUAUUUUCACCGGGGAUAACCAAUGUAUGAGUCCCUGGCCAUCCUUUCUCUCUUCUACCCUCAUCCCUCUGUCAUUACUUCUGGGCCCUUGACCCAGACCAUCCCUCUAAACCCUUGCACUCCAUUCUAUGUAAAUACUGCUCUAUACAGUAAAAUCUUCUAUGAAGUUAUCUGUUUCUUUGCUUAAUCCCUCUACCUUGCCUUAAGGGAGAGCCAUCCCCCCUCCAUGCAAUUACUUUCCCACAUCCCUCACAAGUGGAGACUGUUCAUUCUCUCACUGCCAUGGAGCUCAAAAUCUGGAUGGAGACUUUUUAUCAUCUGUGUGUCCCACCAUCCCUUGCCAACAAUGAUCCUCUCUCUCACAUGAUACGUAACAGUCUCUCCAACUUCCUCUUAACUGUCAUUUAUCACCCUUGCAGUCACACAUCAACUUCCCUUAUCCCUCAAUCACGACCAUUUAUGAAAGGGCACAGUCUUCCUCCCCCACCCCCCUACCAAGUCCUGCCAAUAGCCUGGGUGACUUUAGUAGCCACAGGAAUGGCCCAUCUAAUACCUGGACCUUGGGUUCUCAACCCUGAUCUCUUACGAUCUUCUCUGCACCCCCAUCAGCCACCUGUUCCGUUAGUAUGGCCUUGAACUUUGUCAUAUCCUGAAAUUACUAACUAGGGCAUCCCUUAUUUAGAUCUUGACUUCUUUUCCUUCCGGCUUACAACUACUUUUCCAGCUUCUCUUGCCAUGGCCAUUCUUCCAUCUCAUCAGGGUCUCCAGAUAACUGUCUAGAUGCAAGGGAUUUUUCAAAUACACACAAUUUUUUUAAAAGAUAGAAGAAAGAUUUUGUAAUGGAAAUGUUUAUGUAAGCAUCUAAAAACAGAGCUCUGGAAUUAUGGAGAAGGGUAGGAAGGGUGUCACAGGGAAAAGUGCAGUACAACCUGCUAGUACUAAUUUAGGCUGUGCUUAUUAUAAAAUAUGGAAUUAAUAAUCAGAAGCAUUGUGUAAAUGAAGUCCCUAAAUAAAUACCCUGUGUGUUUGGAGGCUCAGUGGAGAGGUAACACACGCAUGAACAUGAGCUGAUGUAAACAAUAGUUCCUGAAGAUGAUUGUGAGGAAGCUGAAGCAAAAGACUAAAAUCAACAAUAUCACAGGUUUUUUAUAAAAAGAUGCGCCUGCUGCAGAAGAGUCUAAAAAUGUGCCUGUAAUAAAGUAAGGCUUACUUAACAAAGACAGCAGUGGAAGAUGUGAUGAACAUGAGUCCAUAUGAAGAUUAUAAGCCCUACAUGUGUUAACAAUCUAAAUGCAUAUGUUACACCAAAAUUUAAUACAUAAAAGCAGAGGUGAUUAGGUAGCAGCAUGAGAACAAAUUAGGUAAAUAUUAUGAUCUGGCGAAUGCAGGACUUCCUUGAGGAAAAAAAUUCACCAUCAAACCAGCAGAGGAAGACAAAGCAUGUUCAGACCUUUGAAGUUUAGACAUAGAAAUAAUGGGAAAUGGAUGUUGCUCCAGUAAGAACCCAAAUUCGUAAGUUCCUGUGGCUGCAAAAGACCCAGGGCCAGAAGCAAUCCAGAGGUGGACAGCGAUCUGGAGAGAUACCCAGAGCUACUGCCAUUUAUCUAAUUUCAUAAAGCAGACCCCUGGGAAUCAUCCUUAGUAUCUUCUGUUCUUCAUGUACUAUUCCAGUUGCUCAGCAACUUCUCUCCAUUUUAACUCAUAAAUAUCCUACUUCUUUCUGAGUUUUCACUGCCACUCCCCUUGGAUAGCAUUGUCUCUGGUCCAAACCACAUCAGUAAUAAUUACUAGAUAAGAGCCCUGUAUUCAAACAUGUUUUCCAUGCCAGCAGCAUCAGCACUAUGUGGGAACUUGCCAGACAUGAAGAUUCUCAGGCCACAACCCAGACCCCCUGAAUUAUAAUCUGCAUUUUAAUAAGACUUCCAGGUGAUUCAUAUGCACAUACAAGUCUGAGAAGCACUGGACCAAAGGACAUUAAAAACUUCUUCACAGUUUUAUGGGCCAAUGGUAGUGUAAACCCAAAUUGGCUUCUACUGAUCUAAAGGUAAAGAGAAAUAAGAGCCCUCACUUGUUAAGAAUACAUUUAAACCGGGGCACCUGGGUGGCUCAGUUGGUUAGGCGUCUGCCUUCAGCUGAGGUCAUGGUCCCAGGGUCCUGGGAUCGAGCCCCACAUCGGGCUCCCUGAUCCGCGGGAAGCCUGCUUCUC